This 69-nucleotide transfer RNA is filed under the name Ictidomys tridecemlineatus (thirteen-lined ground squirrel). RNAcentral's name for it is "Spermophilus tridecemlineatus (thirteen-lined ground squirrel) tRNA". It matches the Rfam family "tRNA". Rfam says of the family: Transfer RNA (tRNA) molecules are approximately 80 nucleotides in length. Their secondary structure includes four short double-helical elements and three loops (D, anti-codon, and T loops). Lineage: Eukaryota; Metazoa; Chordata; Mammalia; Rodentia; Sciuridae. The record is from Rfam by way of RNAcentral.
GGGGUUGUGGCUCAGCAGUAGAGCGCUCCCCUUGGAUGUGGGAGGCUCUGGGUUCAAUCCUCAGCACCA